Molecule: transfer RNA, 72 nt
Filed under: Toxocara canis (dog roundworm)
Lineage: Eukaryota; Metazoa; Nematoda; Chromadorea; Rhabditida; Toxocaridae
Rfam family: tRNA
About the family: Transfer RNA (tRNA) molecules are approximately 80 nucleotides in length. Their secondary structure includes four short double-helical elements and three loops (D, anti-codon, and T loops). Further hydrogen bonds mediate the characteristic L-shaped molecular structure. tRNAs have two regions of fundamental functional importance: the anti-codon, which is responsible for specific mRNA codon recognition, and the 3' end, to which the tRNAs corresponding amino acid is attached (by aminoacyl-tRNA synthetases). tRNAs cope with the degeneracy of the genetic code in two manners: having more than one tRNA (with a specific anti-codon) for a particular amino acid; and 'wobble' base-pairing, i.e. permitting non-standard base-pairing at the 3rd anti-codon position.
Source: Rfam by way of RNAcentral
CGGGCAGUAGCUCAGUGGUAGAGCUCCCACUUCUUAUGCGGGAAGACCUGGGUUCGAUUCCCGGCUGCUUAC